RNAcentral lists this ribosomal RNA (253 nucleotides) under uncultured bacterium. RNAcentral describes it as "partial 16S ribosomal RNA". It matches the Rfam family "Bacterial small subunit ribosomal RNA", at positions 524 to 776 of the family's 1533-position model. The record is from RNAcentral.
UACGUAGGGGGCAAGCGUUGUCCGGAAUUAUUGGGCGUAAAGCGCGUGUAGGCGGUCCGGUAAGUCGGCUGUGAAAGCCCAGGGCUCAACCCUGGGAUGCCGACCGAUACUGUCGGACUAGAGUUCGGAAGAGGCGAGUGGAAUUCCCGGUGUAGCGGUGAAAUGCGCAGAUAUCGGGAGGAACACCUAUGGCGAAGGCAGCUCGCUGGGACGUUACUGACGCUGAGACGCGAAAGCGUGGGGAGCAAACAGG